Molecule: ribosomal RNA, 292 nt
Filed under: uncultured bacterium
Lineage: Bacteria
Description: partial 16S ribosomal RNA
Rfam family: Bacterial small subunit ribosomal RNA
Source: RNAcentral
GUUUCAGCAGCCGCGGUAAUACGGAGGGUGCGAGCGUUAAUCGGAAUUACUGGGCGUAAAGCGCGCGUAGGCGGUUUGUUAAGUCGGAUGUGAAAUCCCCGGGCUCAACCUGGGAAUGGCAUUCGAUACUGGCCGACUAGAGUACGAGAGAGGGAGGUAGAAUUCCACGUGUAGCGGUGAAAUGCGUAGAUAUGUGGAGGAAUACCGGUGGCGAAGGCGGCCUCCUGGCUCGAUACUGACGCUGAGGUGCGAAAGCGUGGGUAGCAAACAGGAUUAGAUACCCCCGUAGUCC